Molecule: long non-coding RNA, 1193 nt
Filed under: Capra hircus (goat)
Lineage: Eukaryota; Metazoa; Chordata; Mammalia; Artiodactyla; Bovidae
Description: lncRNA (ENSCHIG00010012120.1)
Source: RNAcentral
ACCUCCAAGCCUCAUUUCUUCAACUGAGACCUGCAAAGCCUUUGUGGUAAAUCAAAUGAUGCAUGCAGCGUUAGAACAUUUACAAUGAAAGGAAAUGACGGCCUCUAUGAUGACCAUGCCUCAGCUUCCCACACCCCAGCAGAGUUUGGAUCACCAUCGGUCUGUGCUUCUGAAGAGGCUUCUCUUAAAGUGCCCUGGAAGUGUGUAUCCACAUAGCUGACAUUCACUCUAGAAGUGAAAAUAGUAUUUUGUUUGACCCAAAGAUAGUGAGGAUAAAGGUAAGGGAAACUCAUCUGAGAAUGAUUUCUUAGGUUAAAUGAGCUGAGACCCGUUAACAGUUGAGUCAGGGGUUGGCUCUGGUGUUGAUGAGAAACAACUGGGGUCAGAGAUUCAGUUUCCAGGACAGGUGUCAUAAGACUGGUCUUCCCAAAGCAAAUGUGCCUUCUUGGUUUGGAAAGAGAUCCCUGGGGAUAAGGCCUGGAGUGAGGUGAGUCAGGAUGCACCUGGGUGGGCAGUGGAGAGUCAGGACACAGAGAGGCCUGAAGCAGCAACACAGUGACUGGGGAGGAAGAAGUGGGGAUGGGGCUGCCCAGGCUUGUGCCAGAGUCAGGCCCCCAGCCACUGAGGAGCCCAGCCUGAUUCAGGAGCUCCAGGAUCCUAUGCCAAGAACCAGCCUCUAUGCCAAGAGUCAGGUGAAAGUGUUCAAACUAGCCAACAGUUACUCCCAGGAAUGGGGAACUUGCAGCAAGGAGACUCCAGGUCAGAAGAGAAGCUGGGACAGGUGUCACUCCAAGAAAGACUAGGGGUAACAAUGACGUGAGCUUCUGCCUCUGUGCGACCCCAUGGACGGCAGCGACCCCAUAGAUGGCAGCCCACCAGGCUCCUCCGUCCCUGGGAUUCUCNNNNNNNNNNNNNNNNNNNNNNNNNNNNNNNNNNNNNNNNNNNNNNNNNNGUGAAGAGUGAAAGUGAAGUUGCUCAGUCGUGUCCGACUCUUAGCAACCCAAUGGGCUGCAGCCUACCAGGCUCCUCCACCCAUGGGAUUUUUCCAGGCUAGAGUACUGGAGUGGGUUGCCAUUGCCUUCUCCAAAAGAGCACCUAUAAUAUAGGGGAAAUAAAUCCAUCUACUAACCUUAGAGCUUCUGCCAAAUGAGUAAGGAGCCUUCUCCAGGGUUUGAAGCACCAGUGAGCACCAC